RNAcentral lists this ribosomal RNA (253 nucleotides) under uncultured bacterium. RNAcentral's name for it is "partial 16S ribosomal RNA". It matches the Rfam family "Bacterial small subunit ribosomal RNA", at positions 524 to 776 of the family's 1533-position model. The record is from RNAcentral.
UACGUAGGGUGCGAGCAUUAAUCGGAAUUACUGGGCGUAAAGCGUGCGCAGGCGGUUUGUUAAGUCCGUUGUGAAAGCCCCGAGCUCAACUUGGGAAUUGCAGUGGAUACUGGCAGGCUGGAGUACGGUAGAGGAAGGUGGAAUUCCCGGUGUAGCAGUGAAAUGCGUAGAUAUCGGGAGGAACACCAGUGGCGAAGGCGGCCUUCUGGACCAGUACUGACGCUCAUGCACGAAAGCGUGGGGAGCAAACAGG